UGCAAGUCGAGGGGUAACAGAGAGUGCUUGCACUUUGCUGACGACCGGCGCACGGGUGCGUAACGCGUAUACAAUCUGCCUUGUACUGGAGAAUAGCCCAGAGAAAUUUGGAUUAAUGCUCCAUAACAUGUUUAAUUCGCAUGGAUUUUACAUUAAAGGUUACGGUACAAGAUGAGUAUGCGUCCUAUUAGUUAGUUGGUGUGGUAACGGCGCACCAAGACAGCGAUAGGUAGGGGCCCUGAGAGGGGGAUCCCCCACACUGGUACUGAGACACGGACCAGACUCCUACGGGAGGCAGCAGUGAGGAAUAUUGGACAAUGGAGGGAACUCUGAUCCAGCCAUGCCGCGUGCAGGAAGACUGCCCUAUGGGUUGUAAACUGCUUUUAUACGGGAAGAAACCGUGCUACGUGUAGCACCUUGACGGUACCGUAAGAAUAAGGAUCGGCUAACUCCGUGCCAGCAGCCGCGGUAAUACGGAGGAUCCAAGCGUUAUCCGGAAUCAUUGGGUUUAAAGGGUCCGUAGGUGGACUGGUCAGUCAGAGGUGAAAUCCUGCAGCUUAACUGUAGAACUGCCUUUGAUACUGCUAGUCUUGAAUCAUUGUGAAGUGGUUAGAAUAUGUAGUGUAGCGGUGAAAUGCAUAGAUAUUACAUAGAAUACCAAUUGCGAAGGCAGAUCACUAACAAUGUAUUGACACUGAUGGACGAAAGCGUAGGUAGCGAACGGGAUUAGAUACCCCGGUAGUCUACGCCGUAAACGAUGGAUACUAGCUGUGCGACUUCGGUUGCGUGGCUAAGCGAAAGUGAUAAGUAUCCCACCUG
RNAcentral lists this ribosomal RNA (819 nucleotides) under Hyunsoonleella udonensis. Its description in RNAcentral is "bacterial SSU rRNA". It matches the Rfam family "Bacterial small subunit ribosomal RNA", at positions 56 to 875 of the family's 1533-position model. Lineage: Bacteria; Pseudomonadati; Bacteroidota; Flavobacteriia; Flavobacteriales; Flavobacteriaceae. The record is from RNAcentral.